This 117-nucleotide ribosomal RNA is filed under the name Neobacillus ginsengisoli. The record is from RNAcentral. Lineage: Bacteria; Bacillati; Bacillota; Bacilli; Caryophanales; Bacillaceae.
UCUGGCAGCAAUAGCGAGAAGGUCACACCCGUCCCCAUACCGAACACGGAAGUUAAGCUUCUCAGCGCCAAUGGUAGUUGGGACGCGAGUCCCUGUGAGAGUAGGACGUUGCCAGGC